Long non-coding RNA from Zingiber officinale, 278 nucleotides. RefSeq lists it as uncharacterized. Lineage: Eukaryota; Viridiplantae; Streptophyta; Magnoliopsida; Zingiberales; Zingiberaceae. The record is from RefSeq and is a predicted model, not a curated record. The transcript has 2 exons.
UCGAGGAGAAGGUGAAGACGUAGAGGAAUCGCCGAGAUCUUCACCUCACCCGAAACCCUAGAAGCUUUAGAGCCCUCUUUCUCCGGUUGUUAGUCCAAGAACAGCGAGAUAAAGGAAAAGCCAAAUAGAUAUGAAAAGAGGCGACAAGGGAAGGCUUGAUGGGCAUGUGAUGUCUGGACUGUGGAGUGAUCUAAGAAGUUGUUAAUUCUUUUUAUUAAGAGUCUUAAUUGUUAAAAGAAUUUAAAACUUGUAUAUGCUAUUUUCUUGGGAUUGUUUUA